This 393-nucleotide ribosomal RNA is filed under the name uncultured bacterium. RNAcentral describes it as "bacterial SSU rRNA". It matches the Rfam family "Bacterial small subunit ribosomal RNA", at positions 505 to 898 of the family's 1533-position model. The record is from RNAcentral.
GUGUCAGCAGCCGCGGUAAUACGUAGGCAGCGAGCGUUGUUCGGAGUUACUGGGCGUAAAGGGUGUGUAGGCGGUCCUGUAAGUCUGGUGUGAAAUCUCCCGGCUCAACUGGGAGGGUGCGCCGGAAACUGCAGGGCUAGAGUGCGGGAUGGGAGAGUAGAAUUCCUGGUGUAGCGGUGAAAUGCGUAGAUAUCAGGAGGAAUACCUGUGGUGUAGACGGCUCUCUGGACCGCGACUGACGCUGAGACACGAAAGCGUGGGUAGCAAACAGGAUUAGAUACCCUGGUAGUCCACGCCCUAAACGAUGCACAUUUGGUGUGGGUGAUUCAUUUCAUCCGUGCCGGAGCUAACGCGUUAAAUGUGCCGCCUGGGGAGUACGGUCGCAAGGCUGAA